AGCGAACGCUGGCGGCAGGCCUAACACAUGCAAGUCGAACGGUCCUUCGGGACAGUGGCGGACGGGUGAGUAACACGUGGGAACGUGCCUUUAGGUUCGGGACAACCCAGGGAAACUUGGGCUAAUACCGGAUGUGCCCUUCGGGGAAAGGAUUUAUCGCCUUUAGAGCGGCCCGCGUCUGAUUAGCUUGUUGGUGAGGUAAUGGCUCACCAAGGCGACGAUCAGUAGCUGGUCUGAGAGGAUGAUCAGCCACACUGGGACUGAGACACGGCCCAGACUCCUACGGGAGGCAGCAGUGGGGAAGUCUUGCGCAAUGGGCGAAAGCCUGACGCAGCCAUGCCGCGUGGAUGAUGAAGGUU
Molecule: ribosomal RNA, 359 nt
Filed under: uncultured bacterium
Lineage: Bacteria
Description: bacterial SSU rRNA
Rfam family: Bacterial small subunit ribosomal RNA
Source: RNAcentral